This is an RNA transcript of Myotis brandtii (Brandt's bat), 1115 nucleotides long. It is a transcript of the gene named DNA-directed RNA polymerase II subunit RPB3 pseudogene, with no coding region annotated. Lineage: Eukaryota; Metazoa; Chordata; Mammalia; Chiroptera; Vespertilionidae. The record is from RefSeq and is a predicted model, not a curated record. The transcript has a single exon.
GGAAUUGUAGGAAACUCAGUUUGGGAACAUAAUGGGGUUUAAGACAGAUUGGGAGCCCUCAGUCCAUGUCUCUACCUUCAACAUGAAGACUACUAUUGAAGUGGAAUUAUGUGUGGUUUCCGAUCAAUACAAAGGGUAAGGAUGACACUUCUACAACUAAGAAGUGUCAAUACUGAUAGCAGGGAGCUAUAUAGUUGUGGGAUGAACUGGAGAAUAGAAGGAAACAUUUGUGAGACCCAUUAGAAGCCUACUGAACAAGUUAAGAGGGACUUGGGUCGGGGGGCACGCUGCAGGGUUGAGGCCAGCGGACCGCCAGGAGGCAGAGCGCGAUGCCCUACGCCAACCAGCCCACAGUGUGGAUCACGGAGCUCACCAACGAGAAUGUCAAGUUCAUCAUCGAGAAUACGGACCUAACGGUGGCCAAUUCUAUUCGGAGGGUCUUCAUCGCCGAGGUGCCCAUAACAGCCAUUGACUGGGUUCAGAUUGAGCCAAUUCCUGUCCUUCACGACGAGUUCAUCGCUCACAGGCUUGGAUUAAUCCCCCUCACUAGCGAUGACAUUGUGGACAGGCGGCAGUACUCCCGGGACUGCACGUGUGAGGAGUUCUGCCCCGAGAGCUCGUUGGAGUUCACUCUCGACUUGCGGUGCAACGAGACCAGGCUCCGCACGUCACCUCUGGAGACCUCAUCUCCAGCAGCCCCCGGGUCAUUCCAGUGACAUCUGGAAUCGAGAUAAUGACCCCAAUGACUACGUGGACCAGGACGACAUCCUCGUCGUCAAGCUGCGAAAGGGCCAGGAGCUGAGACUCUGCGCCUGUGCCAAGAAGGGCUUUGGCAAGGAACAUGCUAAGUGGAACCCGACUGCAGGGGUGGCUUUUGAAUAUGAUCCCGACAAUGCCCUGAGGCACACAGUGUACCCCAAGCCAGAGGAGGGGCCAAAGAGCGAGUACUCAGAGCUGGAUGAAGAUGAUUCCCUGACUCCAUACGACCUCAAUGGCAAGCCGGAGAGGUUUUAAUACAACGUGGAGGCCUGUGGCCCUCUGCGCCCUGAAACCAUUGUCCUCUCAGCCCACUUUGGGUUGAAGAAGAAGCUGAGUGAUUUAUAGACCCAGUUGAG